RNAcentral lists this non-coding RNA (225 nucleotides) under Marinobacter sp. The record is from RNAcentral. Lineage: Bacteria; Pseudomonadati; Pseudomonadota; Gammaproteobacteria; Pseudomonadales; Marinobacteraceae.
CUUGCCACACUUUUUUCAGGUGUCCGUCGCAAAGCGCGACGGGUGAAACGGGAAAUCGGUGAGUCUGGCCCCCAGCCAGUACAAGUCCGAUGCUGCCCCCGCAACGGUAAGCAGGAUAACGGCAAUCUGAUGCGCCACUGUGUCGCCAAGACAUGGGAAGGUGAUUGCCCGGGAACCUUGGUUCCGCCUGCCAGCCCGGAGACCGGCCUGGAAAAACACCCGAAG